GGAAGAGUGGCAGAGUGGUCGAAUGUACCUGACUCGAAAUCAGGCGUACCGCAAGGUACCGAGGGUUCGAAUCCCUCCUCUUCCUCCA
This 88-nucleotide transfer RNA is filed under the name Rhodoferax sp. AJA081-3. RNAcentral's name for it is "tRNA-Ser". It matches the Rfam family "tRNA". Rfam says of the family: Transfer RNA (tRNA) molecules are approximately 80 nucleotides in length. Their secondary structure includes four short double-helical elements and three loops (D, anti-codon, and T loops). Lineage: Bacteria; Pseudomonadati; Pseudomonadota; Betaproteobacteria; Burkholderiales; Comamonadaceae. RNAcentral also lists the same sequence under 1 other name. The record is from RNAcentral.